AUGAACACCCAUCACAUUGGUCAAGCCUCAAUUAGUUCCCCAAUUGAUCUUCUAUUAAGAGAUGUUCUCCACGUUCCACAAGCCAAUAAGAAUCUUGCUUCUAUGUCUCGCUUAACAACCCAUAACAAUGUAUUCUUUGAAACUCAUCCUAAAUAUUAUUUUUAUAAAGGAUCGAGCAAUGCACCAGAUGACCUUACCCCAUCACAACAAGAGCAUUUAGUCAUCAAAAGCGUCGUCAUCAAGCCCUCCUUGGCAAGAUGGCAUCAAAGAGUAGGACAUCCGUCAUCAAUCAUAGUUGAGCAAGUAGUCAAUCAAGGCAAUCUUCUAUUUUCAGGUAGUGAAAAUAAAGAGUCUGUUUGUGAUGCUUGUCAGUGUGCCAAGAGUCACCAACUCUUUGAUGACAUCUUGCCAAGGAGGGUUGACGAUGGAGUAGGCUUGACACAACGCUUUCGACUAAAUGCUCCUCAUGUGAUGGCGUGA
This 480-nucleotide ribosomal RNA is filed under the name Triticum aestivum (bread wheat). RNAcentral describes it as "partial small subunit ribosomal RNA". The record is from RNAcentral. Lineage: Eukaryota; Viridiplantae; Streptophyta; Magnoliopsida; Poales; Poaceae.